This 222-nucleotide long non-coding RNA is filed under the name Gossypium barbadense (sea-island cotton). RNAcentral's name for it is "long non-coding RNA (GBAR_LNC013292)". The record is from RNAcentral. Lineage: Eukaryota; Viridiplantae; Streptophyta; Magnoliopsida; Malvales; Malvaceae.
AAAAAACAGUGUUUAUUAUGAAAACUUAUUUGUACCCGUUAAGCAGUUCAAAAUAAAUAAAUAAACCCAUUUUAAAGAAAAUUAAAAUACUAGAGGCCUUAUUACAUAAAAAACAACCCAAAGUAAACUUUAAAAGAAAUCAGUCUAGAAUAAAAAUACUAGCGAAUGUGUGGCCACCUCCGAGUCCCUCGCAGCUCCAAAUCAACUAAGGUUGGGGAUUAC